Ornithodoros turicata is the source of this 218-nucleotide long non-coding RNA. RefSeq lists it as uncharacterized. Lineage: Eukaryota; Metazoa; Arthropoda; Arachnida; Ixodida; Argasidae. The record is from RefSeq and is a predicted model, not a curated record. The transcript is spliced from 3 exons.
GAAGCAGAAGAAGUACGUCACGCGUUCAUGAUCUUUCGUUCUGUGGAUGUAGCACGAUUCAUUGUGCGACUUCGUUUUGCAGAAAUAUCCGCCUCAACAUAAAGUGCUGGCCCUGGGGUUUCUUCAACACUGAGUUGGAUCCUGGAAUAUUUCCCUUGAAAUUUUACUUGAACUGUGUCAUCAGAUGACAACCAUGUCCGCUUCUACCGCGGCACUGC